CAGUUUUGGCAGCUCAUAUACUGCAACUGAAAUGAUACAGAGAAGUGUAGUAUGGUCCCUGAACAAGAAUGAUGUGUGAAUUUGAGUACUGGCUCUCUGUCUG
This 103-nucleotide small nuclear RNA is filed under the name Opisthocomus hoazin. Lineage: Eukaryota; Metazoa; Chordata; Aves; Opisthocomiformes; Opisthocomidae. The record is from RNAcentral.